UUACGCCCCACGCGAGUUAGCCUUGUCUAUCUGGAUUACACUUCAGUUAUGUUUAAAUCGCGCUCGGUGAAUAUGUUACAAGAUUCGAGUGUAUCGCGAAUUCGCGGAAAUAUUUAGUGAAAUACACGUCUGCAAAUGACGAAAGAUGUGACACAAAAUUCCCUCUCAGAAAUCUAUGUUUAAAUCAUCUCGAUUUACAAUUUUCGUUAUCGCCUCGCAAAAGGUGUAAUGAACCUGUGAUGCUUUAUUUAAUAUUCCUUGUCAAAUGUCGUUAAAAUAAACGUGAGAAUGAGUAGUCGGAAUUUUAUCAAUGCCAAAAA
Molecule: long non-coding RNA, 320 nt
Organism: Leptopilina heterotoma
Lineage: Eukaryota; Metazoa; Arthropoda; Insecta; Hymenoptera; Figitidae
Exons: 2
Source: RefSeq, a predicted model, not a curated record